GCUUCUGCAGUGCAUUGUUGAUGAGGAUUCGCCCGUCCUUCCAGUUGGAGAGUUCUCGGAGCCAUUUGUACAUUUCAUCACUCAGUGUAUGCGAAAACAGCCAAAAGAAAGGCCAGCACCUGAAGAAUUGAUGGGCCACCCGUUCAUCGUGCAGUUCAAUGAUGGAAAUGCCGCCGUGGUGUCCAUGUGGGUGUGCCGGGCGCUGGAGGAGAGGCGGAGCCAGCAGGGGCCCCCGUGAGGCUGCCGCAGGGCACUGAAAGCCCAGGACCAGUAACCAAGGAGAACAACCCACCCGUCGCCCUUCUCCGUAUGCUGCCUGCGCCAGAAGAGCUUUGCUGGGCCCUGGCUUCCCUGCCCUCGCCUUCACCUCUGUCAGCAGGUGGCCUUGCCUGGGGAGCCCCAUGUGUGGCCCACCCCACCAGGCCAUCCCCAUACCUUCUGGUUUGAAGGCGCUGACACUGGCAGAGAGGUAAAGGGUGGGGCAUUGAGAAUGGAGGCUCCCAGGGUCCCUGCCCACUUCUGUUUUCCUAAUGUUUUUCUCUAUAAAGGGUCAGGCCCGUCAGCAUCACUGAUGGGAAUAAAAGUAUUAAU
This 591-nucleotide long non-coding RNA is filed under the name Homo sapiens (human). RNAcentral's name for it is "long non-coding RNA NONHSAT170937.1". Lineage: Eukaryota; Metazoa; Chordata; Mammalia; Primates; Hominidae. The record is from RNAcentral.